Molecule: non-coding RNA, 4193 nt
Organism: Coffea arabica (coffee)
Lineage: Eukaryota; Viridiplantae; Streptophyta; Magnoliopsida; Gentianales; Rubiaceae
Source: RefSeq, a predicted model, not a curated record
AUAUCACUUUAAUCUAAUCAAAUCUGUAUACCCGCUGUCUUAGUACAUUAUGGUGUACUUUCUGCUUCUGCCCUAGACCUCUGGUUCUAUUCAUCAACUAAGCUGGUAUUGUUCUUGUAAAUUUGUAGAUACUGAAAAAUCCCAGACUGCUUAAUUGGUUAUGCAACUAGCUGAUACAGGAAAUCAGAUGAUGCUCGUCUCCCAAUUUGAUGCUUUUGUCUUUGAUGAUCAGUGAUAAAAUUUUAGCAGUCGCUGUAAUGAUUGUAAAUUUUUAGCUAAGAGAGGAGAUUGAGAAGCAUUUUUUAUCCUAUAUGCUAUAUGUGGGAGGAACAGAGAGAUGGUGAGAUUGGAUGAUCAAAUUUUAUCCUUUCUUGCGGCCCAAUACCUGUUGAUGCAUUAUUGUUGUAUUUAACAAUGAUGAAGGUGAGGAUGCUGAACAAGAAGAUGAGUUCCGUUUAUUCUAAACUUGGCAAGGGGAAAGUAAUCAAUUCAGCUCUUGAUGGAGCAAUUCUGUUUCCUCCUAUGACCUUUGGAAAAUUGGAGCCAGGAUUCCAGGCUUCUAAUUGUUCAGCUGAUGCUAAGGUCAUCAUAUCAGAUUUGACAUUCUUUUUGGAUAAAAGGCAACAAGCAGCAUGAAGCAAAAUGUUAGCCAAAGGUUAGAUUACAAUGCCUUUGUGGAAAUUGAGACCUGUUCUUUAUUUAUUUUGUAUAUGUGAUUUUAUUGACUUGGAUUUCCAAAUUUCUGUUUAUUAUGAGUUAUAGGGAGAAUCUUUUUGUCCCUAAAAUAUUAAACACAGGAUGUGAUUCUACAAAAUGACUUGUGAUCAUGAUAGCAUAGACUAGGAUGCUAUCGGUAUUUAGUCUGAAAAAUCUGAAAUUCCUUUGGAUUCUAAAAUCCCUUAAUCCAAGGCAAAUUUAUAAAUCAGUUAUUAAUUCACGUUUGAAGGACAAGGGAACAAAAGGAAAGGCAGCAGGAGGGGGGGCCUGGGAAGUGUAAUUCACGUUUCCUGUGUUUUGAACUCUUGUAAGCUUCAUAUGCAUAGUCAUAUUUUCCGUGGCUGGUUCUAUUUCCCUGUUUUUCUUCCCAGCUUCUUCCAUGGAAUGCCUAAAGGUUCAUGCCUAUACCACAGUGAAUCAAGAGUCAAACCCACUAGCAAAAUUCCCUCCCAAAACCAGAUGAAAUAGCUUCAAGAUGUUUGGCUUUUCCCAUCGAAGUAAUUGAUCAUCUUCAUCUUAUCCGAUCUCUUGGUUGGUCUGUUCUGGUUCUUUCUUGAAUGUGGAAUCCUUUUAGAUUGUACCCAAGUGAAAGUUUGCCCUUACCUUACAUUAUAACAAGUCUUCGUCUUGGUCCUACGAGGUACUUGAAGUUCUCUUCCUUUUUCUAUAAUGCGAACAAAUUUAACAAAAGAUUUGUCAUGAAAUAGUGAACGUAGGGUGUAUGAAGCAAAGCAAGGUUAGAAUGAUAUGAAUCCUUUUGCGAGCUACAAAUUUUGAGAGCUUACUUUUUCCACAGAUAUUUGUACUAAAAUUUUCUCUGUCAUCUCAAAGUGAAUUAUAAAAUCAUCUCUUAAGAACCUUAAAGAGGUAAAACUUCUGAAGCUGAUAAAUAUAGGCAAAUAGUUGAGGGAAGAAAAGACAUCUCCCCAUCAGCUUCUCUAGAUUCAAGUUAUGCAUCCAAUAAUGACGAUGGGACAGAGAAGCAAAGAAAUCAAUUCAUCUGAUAAACAAAAAAUCCUAAAAUAGCUGUUAAAUUAAUCAGGAAUCAAGUAGUUUCAUGAUUAUGAGUACCAUGUAGUAGUCCAGUUAAACAUACUUAACCGUGAAGGAGAGAAAAAGAAAAGGAAAAAGGAUUAUUGGUGCCUUCGCAACCGAAACUAGAAACAACUAAUGUUCACUACCUCAAGCUUAACCAUCUACAUUAAAAACAUCAGAUCCUUCAAGCAGAAUUUUAAUCUCAAUCGGGAAUGCGGGUGCCUUUGCAACCAGAACUAGACAACAACAUCAAUGUUCUGUCACACGUUAAGUAGUAAUAGCAAAUUAAUGAUGAUAAUUAGCAUGUACUAGAAAUAUUGUUGUUUUAGCUAGUGCUGCUGCUGCUGUUGCUGUUGCUGUUGCUGUUGUGAACUGCUUGGGUUCUUAAAAGGCUGCAAUUUAGCAACAAAAAUGGGAAGCCUCUAAGUAAAUGGAUCUCUAGGUUACAACCUUCCCCCAGACUUAACAAAUACACUAGAAAGUUCAAUUUUCCUAUUUCUAGCUUCUAUUCACUAGCUUUUGAAAGAAUGUGCUACAAUUGGGAUAAGUAUCUCAAUAGUAUAGGCUGUCUAAAGAGAUUAAAGAAGCAAUAGGUAUGUUGAUCACCCGUCAAUUUCCAAAUUUCGGAGCCAUUACUGCUGACUAAAUUCCCAUGCCCUUGCUUUCAGCGGUAUACUGUUUUACAUUUUUUUUGGGGGUGGGGAGGGGGGUGGUGUUUGUAGGACAAAUUUUUGCGUCUUGAUAUGCCUUUAUUGCAUUUUCAACAGUUUUUCAUUCACCAGUCAUGAGUGGACAAAAGAGAGCAUUUUCAACAUAAGUAGAUAACGUGCCAACACCAUUCAGCCAAAAGUUUCGUCGUCCUCUCACGUGCCGUGCAUGUGGGUUGGAAGCAUUAUGUUGUUCACGCAUCGCGCGACGGCUUUCGCUCUAUUCUCAUCUUCUCCUCUGGCAGUAUCCCAUGUGCCUUCUGCUGCGUUGUCUGCCGUAUUGCGAGACUUGUUUCUGUGUCUGGCAGUAUCCCAUGCCUCUCCCAUGCCUCUUCUUCCCACUACCUUCUCUCUCUCCUUCUUUUGGACACUGUUGCUCUGUUGCUUAUCCGGCUGUUCUGAGCCUUGGUACAAGAGCCUGUUGAGAUAUCUGGUGCUCUUCUUACCACGCAAGGAACAUCGAGCCUCUGCCUCUCGCGUUCUCUGGGUUGCAGUGGUCCAAAUCAUCUGCCAUCCGUUUGGUUCUCCUCCUCCUCCUCCGUUGAGCAUCGAGCCUCUGUCUCUCGCGUUCUAUGGGUUGCAGUGGUCCAAAUCAUCUUCCAUCCGUUUGGUUCUCCUCCUCCUCCUCCAUUGACCUCUUUUCCUCCCCUUCCGAAGACCUUCUGUUUUGCUCUCGGGAGAGGGAUUUUUGGCUGUGCACGUCGCUUAGAAUGGGGAAGUGAAACUAAUACUUUUAAAUGGCCGGCUCAUAGCUACUUGAUUCUAAACUUUCGCAACUAGGACAAUGAAAAUAAAACUAGAGGUAGCAACCGGCAAUACAGAAUACAUGAAGGUAUUAUUGUUUACUUUUUUGGAUUAUGAAUUUUUUCAUAUGCUCUUCUCUGAAGGUUUGAGUUUUGCUUGCAUGUUUCUUAUGUAUGAUUGAACGACAUUCUGUAGAUGGAAAGGGUUACCAAUAGAAUGUUUAAUUUUUGGACUGAAAUUUUUUUAUGAAUUCUUCUCUGAAGGUGCGAGUUUUGCUUGGCACAUGCAGCAUGAGUGAACCACAUUUUUUAGAUGGCCUGGGCUACCGAUUGAACCUUUUAAUUAUAACAACCUUAAACAAGAAGAAAAUUAUAGUCCAAAGUUUUUAAGUUUUAUAAUCUGUCGUGCCACAUUUUAGUUCAAUCACAGUACUGGUUCUGAGUACCUUAAUCUUGUACAUAAGUUUAUUUUUAUUGCUUACCAGUGAGAAAGGCGCUUUUAGAUGGUUUUUCUGUCAUUGGUGGAGAUUAUGUUAUUGAUCAAAGGCGAUUCCCCCCGUGUUGCUUUUGUUGGCUCCUGUAUUUUUUGUAUUGCUGACACCUUGUUGUUUAUGUUUGUUGCUAUAGUAAGAAGCCUGUUCUGCUGACAUUGUUCCGUGAUUUUUGAGAUUGAAGUGGGAUGGACCAAAGUAGAUGCUAUGGGAUCUGUUGAGUCCAAUCCAAUUAUUAUUGGUAUUAGACUCAGAGUGGAGCCCUGAUAAUUGUGAGAUCUGUUUCUAUGUAUAUUCAUGGUUCCUUAGUUAAUUUGUGUUAGGCUGUUGUGUUACUGGUCACUGUACUAUCAUUUUUCCUUGGUACUUUUCCCUUCUGGAUUUUAAAUCACGGAUUGUUUGCUAUGUCACAGCAAGCUAGAAUGUUAUAUUGAUUUUUUGAAAGGUGACAUUUUUAUUAAGCAUUUUUGAUGGAAGGAUAACCUCCUUCCUUUCUUCAA